UACGUAGGAGGCAAGCGUUGUCCGGAAUUACUGGGUGUAAAGCGCGUGUAGGCGGCAGGCCAAGUCUGUGGUGAAAUCGCUCGGCUCAACUGGGCGGGGUCCAUGGAAACUGGUCAGCUGGAGGACGGUAGAGGUGAGUGGAAUUCCCGGUGUAGUGGUGAAAUGCGUAGAGAUCGGGAGGAACACCCGUGGCGAAGGCGGCUCACUGGGCCGGUCCUGACGCUGAGACGCGAAAGCGUGGGGAGCAAACGGG
This 253-nucleotide ribosomal RNA is filed under the name uncultured bacterium. RNAcentral describes it as "partial 16S ribosomal RNA". It matches the Rfam family "Bacterial small subunit ribosomal RNA", at positions 524 to 776 of the family's 1533-position model. The record is from RNAcentral.